RNAcentral lists this ribosomal RNA (926 nucleotides) under uncultured marine bacterium. RNAcentral describes it as "bacterial SSU rRNA". It matches the Rfam family "Bacterial small subunit ribosomal RNA", at positions 8 to 954 of the family's 1533-position model. The record is from RNAcentral.
AGAGUUUGAUCAUGGCUCAGAAUGAACGCUGGCGGCGUGCUUAACACAUGCAAGUCGAACGAUGAAGCCUAGCUUGCUAGGUGGAUUAGUGGCGCACGGGUGAGUAAUAUAUAGAUAACGUGCCUCUUAGUCUGGGAUAGCCAUUGGAAACGAUGAUUAAUACUAGAUACUCCUUCUCUUUAUAAUGAGAGUUGGGAAAGUUUUUCGCUAAGAGAUCGGUCUAUAUCCCAUCAGCUUGUUGGUAGUGUAAGAGACUACCAAGGCUAUGACGGGUAGCGGGUUUGAGAGGAUGAUCCGCCACACUGGUACUGAGACACGGACCAGACUCCUACGGGAGGCAGCAGUGAGGAAUAUUGCACAAUGGAGGAAACUCUGAUGCAGCAACGCCGCGUGGAGGAUGACGCAUUUCGGUGUGUAAACUCCUUUUAUAGGUCAAGAAAAUGACGGUAGCCUAUGAAUAAGCACCGGCUAACUCCGUGCCAGCAGCCGCGGUAAUACGGAGGGUGCAAGCGUUAUUCGGAAUCACUGGGCGUAAAGGACGCGUAGGCGGGAAGCCAAGUCUGAUGUGAAAUCCUACAGCUCAACUGUAGAACUGCAUUGGAAACUGGUUACCUAGAGUAUGGGAGGGGGAGAUGGAAUUAGUGGUGUAGGGGUAAAAUCCGUAGAUAUCACUAGGAAUACCGAAAGCGAAGGCGAUCUCCUGGAACAAUACUGACGCUAAGGCGUGAAAGCGUGGGGAGCAAACGGGAUUAGAUACCCCGGUAGUCCACGCCCUAAACGAUGAACACUAGUCGUCGGAAUGCUAGUCAUUUCGGUGAUGCACUUAACAGAUUAAGUGUUCCGCCUGGGGAGUACGGUCGCAAGAUUAAAACUCAAAGGAAUAGACGGGGACCCGCACAAGUGGUGGAGCAUGUGGUUUAAUUCGA